RNAcentral lists this ribosomal RNA (468 nucleotides) under uncultured bacterium. RNAcentral's name for it is "partial 16S ribosomal RNA". It matches the Rfam family "Bacterial small subunit ribosomal RNA", at positions 28 to 507 of the family's 1533-position model. The record is from RNAcentral.
GACGAACGCUGGCGGCGUGCUUAACACAUGCAAGUCGAACGGAAAGGCCCUGCUUUUGUGGGGUUCUCGAGUGGCGAACGGGUGAGUAACACGUGAGUAACCUGCCCUUGACUUUGGGAUAACUUCAGGAAACUGGGGCUAAUACCGGAUAGGAGCUCCUGCUGCAUGGUGGGGGUUGGAAAGUUUCGGCGGUUGGGGAUGGACUCGCGGCUUAUCAGCUUGUUGGUGGGGUAGUGGCUUACCAAGGCUUUGACGGGUAGCCGGCCUGAGAGGGUGACCGGCGACAUUGGGACUGAGAUACGGCCCAGACUCCUACGGGAGGCAGCAGUGGGGAAUAUUGCACAAUGGGCGGAAGCCUGAUGCAGCAACGCCGCGUGCGGGAUGACGGCCUUCGGGUUGUAAACCGCUUUCGCCUGUGAUGAAGCGUGAGUGACGGUAAUGGGUAAAGAAGCAACGGCUAACUACGUG